GCCCGGAUGACUCAGUCGGUCAAGUGUCUGACUUUGGCUCAGGUCCUGAUCUCACGGUUGUGGGUUCGAGCCCCGUGUUGGGCU
Molecule: transfer RNA, 84 nt
Filed under: Felis catus (domestic cat)
Lineage: Eukaryota; Metazoa; Chordata; Mammalia; Carnivora; Felidae
Rfam family: tRNA
About the family: Transfer RNA (tRNA) molecules are approximately 80 nucleotides in length. Their secondary structure includes four short double-helical elements and three loops (D, anti-codon, and T loops).
Source: Rfam by way of RNAcentral